AUUGAACGCUGGCGGCAUGCUUUACACAUGCAAGUCGAACGGCAGCGCGGGCUUCGGCCUGGCGGCGAGUGGCGAACGGGUGAGUAAUACAUCGGAACGUGCCCAGUAGUGGGGGAUAGCUCGGCGAAAGCCGUAUUAAUACCGCAUACGACCUGAGGGUGAAAGCGGGGGAUCUUCGGACCUCGCGCUCUUGGAGCGGCCGAUGGCGGAUUAGCUAGCUGGUGGGGUAAAGGCCUACCAAGGCGACGAUCUGUAGCUGGUCUGAGAGGACGACCGGCCACACUGGGACUGAGACACGGCCCAGAGUCCUACGGGAGGCAGCAGUGGGGAAUUUUGGACAAUGGGCGGAAGCCUGAUCCAGCAAUGCCGCGUGUGUGAUGAAGGCCUUCGGGUUGUAAAGCACUUUUGGCGGGAACGAAAAGGACUGUGCCAAUACCACGGUUCGAUGACGGUACCCGCAGAAUAAGCACCGGCUAACUACGUG
RNAcentral lists this ribosomal RNA (484 nucleotides) under uncultured bacterium. RNAcentral describes it as "partial 16S ribosomal RNA". It matches the Rfam family "Bacterial small subunit ribosomal RNA", at positions 28 to 507 of the family's 1533-position model. The record is from RNAcentral.